Leptolyngbya sp. O-77 is the source of this 117-nucleotide non-coding RNA. Lineage: Bacteria; Bacillati; Cyanobacteriota; Cyanophyceae; Leptolyngbyales; Leptolyngbyaceae. The record is from Rfam.
CCUGGUGCCUAUGGCGGUGUGGAACCACGCUCAUCCAUCCCGAACUGAGUUGUGAAACGCAUCUGCGGCGAAGAUAGUUGGUGGGUAGCUGCCUGCAAAAAUAGCUCGGUGCCAGGG